Molecule: small nucleolar RNA, 132 nt
Organism: Gorilla gorilla gorilla (western lowland gorilla)
Lineage: Eukaryota; Metazoa; Chordata; Mammalia; Primates; Hominidae
Source: Ensembl
GGCCUCUCAGUUCCGCUUAAUCACACAGGUCCAGUGUGUGCUUGGUGUGUUUUCUGGGGGGCAGAGGAAGGCUCUCCUAAUCACAACAGACCUGCCCAGAAGGGCCUCUCUCUUUCUAGGAGUAUGAUAGCU